GUGGCCACGACCAAGGAAUGCCAC
Molecule: non-coding RNA, 24 nt
Filed under: Arabidopsis thaliana (thale cress)
Lineage: Eukaryota; Viridiplantae; Streptophyta; Magnoliopsida; Brassicales; Brassicaceae
Source: RNAcentral